Molecule: long non-coding RNA, 1482 nt
Organism: Neofelis nebulosa (Clouded leopard)
Lineage: Eukaryota; Metazoa; Chordata; Mammalia; Carnivora; Felidae
Exons: 2
Source: RefSeq, a predicted model, not a curated record
ACUCCUUUCUUUUCCUUUCAUUCAGAGCAGCUCCAUUCUUUGUUACAUAAUGAGUUUCUACUCAAGAUUCUGUUUGGAAAAGGCAAGGUUCUGUGGCUAAAAACUGUGAGAGCUGUUGAAUUAGAUGACUGUCAUCUCUUCCAAUCUGGGAGGCCAUGUGUAUCUUUUACUGAGUGGUAUUUUUUAAAGUUCCUGGGUAACAAGUGAUGAUCUCUAGCCUGAUGAAAACAUAAGUAUUCUAAGAAUGAAAUGCUUUGUAUACAAAUGUCAACUAAAGAAUACUGACUUCCCAAUAUGGGGAGCUAUGAAUGGGGAGUCGAAUUUUUUAAAUAAUUUACUUCCUUCUGUUCCAAGUCCUUUGGCUUAGUCACAGAAAUAACAGACAGUAAGAAAGACUGUGGCUGGGGAUAACAAGAGUAUCAUGGUAACCAAGGAACAGAAGACAUGAGUGAGAGGAGACUGGAGAUGAUGGGUCAGAAUCAGUGUGUCUCCAGCUGAGGAUAUUCUCAAGAGUACUGUUAAAAAAAGACCUCAAAGGUAAACUUGACCAGUGGGGUGUGGGUAACAGGAAUGGAGAAGGAAGCAUGUAUUUGAGGCAUGUACUUUUGAAUAAAUCCUUAGGUUUCCUAGCAAAAAAUCAGAUAAAGAAAAGUACCUGCUAGUCUAUUUUUAAGUAUAGAUUAAGACGAAAGAAAUAGCACUCGUGAGAGAGAAUACAGUUUAGGAAGCCAGGUAUUUCAUCUGCUAAACAGGAAAUAACUCACUGGAUUACCAAAGAUUACCAAAAAGGAAGUAUACCUUUGCUUCAUGUUUCACUACUACUUCGACAACAUCAUUAUGAGCUUUCUCAGAUGCCACGUGUAGAGGAGUCAAGAAUCUUAAAAAGAAAAAGUCAGCCAGACAGUGAAUAUAUUAUCCAAAAAAUAAAAGGUUAAUUAAUGAAACACCCCAAAGGUUGGAGUUUCUUUACAUGAAGAAAUAAAAGACACUCAUCAGCUCUGGAGGCUGCUUGGUAACAGCACGGAUCAAAUAGCUGCCAAGAUUAGUAUUUACUUCUUUCUCAACUAGUUGCUUCAACAGAAUAAGGAGCUUGGAUUAGUCAAAAUCAAUGGGAGAAGAUGAAAUGCUCUACAAUGAAGGCUGUAGCAUCUAUAUCUAUGAUACGUCAAAGAGGAAAGGAGUCAGGAAGUGGGGAUUUGCCAGUUAUAAACCUAGUAUGUAUCUCAUGGUCAUGUCCCAAAAUCUUUGCAUCUCUAAUAUCCAGGAUAAUACUCCUAUACAAUAGGUGUUCAACAAAUGUCUGAACAUGUGAAUGACGAGAUCAAUGUAAAGAUACUAAGUUCAAUUGAAGCCUGAGAAUUCAUGGAAUAAAAGUUCUGGAUAACUGUUAAGCUAAGUUGUUCUAUAUAUCUAAAUUCAAAGUACAUAUGAAAUUUGUUCUCUUACUUUAACCUAUUAAUUAUAAAGCUUAUCUGAUCUUCA